ACUCGAGUGGCGAACGGGUGAGUAACACGUGGGUGAUCUGCCCUGCACUUCGGGAUAAGCCUGGGAAACUGGGUCUAAUACCGGAUAGGAGCCAUCUUUAGUGGUGGUGGUUGGAAAGUUUUUCGGUGUAGGAUGAGCUCGCGGCCUAUCAGCUUGUUGGUGGGGUAAUGGCCUACCAAGGCGGCGACGGGUAGCCGGCCUGAGAGGGUGUACGGCCACAUUGGGACUGAGAUACGGCCCAG
RNAcentral lists this ribosomal RNA (242 nucleotides) under uncultured Actinomycetales bacterium. RNAcentral describes it as "partial 16S ribosomal RNA". It matches the Rfam family "Bacterial small subunit ribosomal RNA", at positions 89 to 334 of the family's 1533-position model. The record is from RNAcentral. Lineage: Bacteria; Bacillati; Actinomycetota; Actinomycetes; Actinomycetales.